UACGGGGGGAGCAAGCGUUGUUCGGAUUUACUGGGCGUAAAGGGCGGGUAGGCGGCCACCGCAAGUCGACUGUGAAAUCUCCGGGCUUAACCCGGAAAGGUCAGCCGAUACUGCGGGGCUAGAGUGCAGAAGGGGCAACUGGAAUUCUCGGUGUAGCGGUGAAAUGCGUAGAUAUCGAGAGGAACACCUGCGGCGAAGGCGGGUUGCUGGGCUGACACUGACGCUGAACUGCGAAAGCUAGGGGAGCGAACAGG
This 254-nucleotide ribosomal RNA is filed under the name uncultured bacterium. RNAcentral describes it as "partial 16S ribosomal RNA". It matches the Rfam family "Bacterial small subunit ribosomal RNA", at positions 524 to 776 of the family's 1533-position model. The record is from RNAcentral.